RNAcentral lists this ribosomal RNA (792 nucleotides) under uncultured bacterium. RNAcentral's name for it is "bacterial SSU rRNA". It matches the Rfam family "Bacterial small subunit ribosomal RNA", at positions 8 to 795 of the family's 1533-position model. The record is from RNAcentral.
AGAGUUUGAUCCUGGCUCAGGAUGAACGCUAGCGGCAGGCCUAACACAUGCAAGUCGAGGGGUAGCAGGGUAGCAAUAUCGCUGACGACCGGCGCACGGGUGAGUAAUGCGUAUGCAACCUUCCUUUAACUGGGGCAUAGCCCGGAGAAAUUCGGAUUAAUACCCCAUAACAUCAUGAAAAGGCAUCUUUUUAUGAUUAGAGCUCCGGCGGUUAAAGAUGGGCAUAUGUGCCAUUAGCUUGGUUGGUGAGGUAACGGCUCACAAGGCUACAUGGGCUAGGGGGUCCUGAGAGGAUGAUCCCCCACACUGGUACUGAGACACGGACCAGACUCCUACGGGAGGCAGCAGUGAGGAAUAUUGGGCAAUGGGCGCAAGCCUGACCCAGCCAUGCCGCGUGAAGGAUGAAUGCCCUAUGGGUUGUAAACUUCUUUUGUACGGGACAAAACUCCUUGGUCGUGACCGGGAUUGAUGGUACCGUACGAAUAAGCAUCGGCUAACUCCGUGCCAGCAGCCGCGGUAAUACGGAGGAUGCAAGCGUUAUCCGGAUUCAUUGGGUUUAAAGGGUGCGUAGGCGGAAUAGCAAGUCAGCGGUGAAAGCCUGUGGCUUAACCAUAGAAAUGCCGUUGAUACUGUUAUUCUUGAGUGUAGUUGAAGUGGGCGGAAUGUGUAAUGUAGCGGUGAAAUGCUUAGAUAUUACACAGAACACCAAUUGCGAAGGCAGCUCACUAAGCUAAUACUGACGCUGAGGCACGAAAGCGUGGGGAGCAAACAGGAUUAGAUACCCUGGUAGUC